Molecule: ribosomal RNA, 301 nt
Filed under: uncultured bacterium
Lineage: Bacteria
Description: partial 16S ribosomal RNA
Rfam family: Bacterial small subunit ribosomal RNA
Source: RNAcentral
CAGCAGCCGCGGUAAUACGAAGGGUGCAAGCGUUACUCGGAAUUACUGGGCGUAAAGCGUGCGUAGGUGGUGGUUUAAGUCCGUUGUGAAAGCCCUGGGCUCAACCUGGGAAUUGCAGUGGAUACUGGGCCACUAGAGUGUGGUAGAGGAUAGUGGAAUUUCCGGUGUAGCAGUGAAAUGCGUAGAGAUCGGAAGGAACAUCUGUGGCGAAGGCGACUAUCUGGGCCAACACUGACACUGAGGCACGAAAGCGUGGGGAGCAAACAGGAUUAGAUACCCGCGUAGUCCCUGUCUCUUAUAA